UCAAAAUGAAACAAAAAUUCAUUACAUUAAACUACAAAAUGUAAAAUACAUUAGUGUCUAACACAUUACAAAAACAUCAUUUUCUAAAAAUAAAUAUUAGAAUAAACAUCAUCUAUACAACAAAAUAAAAAAUUUGGUCAAACUAAAAAAUAUGUUGCUAUUUACAACACCAGAAAGCUUCAUGAAGGGCAACCAACCGGUAACUAUUACACAAGUCAGCUACUACAGUUUUUUGGCCUCCAGAUAACUGCUUCAUGGAUUGUGUCACCUUGUCCAGUAAAAGNUAUAUAUAUAUAUAUAUAUAUAUAUAUAUAUAUAUAUAUAUCAAAAAACUUAAUAAAUAUAACAUUAUAACAUGAAACUAUGAUAAAAAAAAAACCCUUUGAUCUGAGAAGUUUAUUGAUAUGAGGUUGGGGACUUGAAGGAGGCCAUGUCGCAAGAAACCCUUUAAGCCUUUUACAGAACUCACUGCAUAAAUCUGUUGUGGUGCUUGAGAGAUCAAGUUGAAAAAAUGAAAAAAUAUAUUCAAUUUUAGACAUGCAAAACCAAUCUAUGUUCUUGCUACAUACACAUACACACAUAAAACUAAUAAUUGAGGGAUGGAGAACUAACCUGUAAUCUAAUCUGUAUGUUUCUACAUACACAAACAGCCAAAUAUACAUACACACAUAAAACUAAUAAUUAAGGGAUGAAGAAGUAACCUGUAAUCCAAUCUGUAUGUUUGUUACAUACACAAACAGCCAAAUACACAUACACACAUAAAACUAAUAAUUGAGGGAUGAAGAACUAACCUGUAAUCCAAUCUGUAUGUUUGCUACAUACACAAACAGCCAAAUACCACUAUCUGCUCCAUUCAUUUUUGCUCCAACCACCAAACACCACCAUUGACCAUCUUCCUGUUUGCAUCUGUUCUGUACCAUCACAUGCUCAACUACUCCACCAUUUUAGCAACAUAAACAACCGAGAACCAGAACAAAACCACCUACAUCUUCAAUCCAUCGUUCUUGAUAACUUCACAAAUGACCAAGGGACCAAAAUUUUGGUCAAGAAAUUACCCGAAUCCAAAUACCCUUCACUCAGGCAAUUAAUCGAACACUUGGUGGGCAGAUGGUUUCAUACACAAAAAAAUUAAAGAUUUUGGUCAAGAAAUUACCCGAAUCAAAUACCCUUCUUCCCUACCUGUUACAACUGUUACAACCGAGACACAAAUCCAACUAACAAUUCAAAAAGAUGAAGAAACAACAAAUGAUUUUAGAAAGAUGAAGAAAGAACAAACAAUUUUAAAAAAUCAUUAUGUGAUGUUGCAGAAAGAACAAACAAUUUUUAAAAGAACAAAUGAUCUAAUGUCGACUAACCUUUGCAGAAGCUGUCGACGAACCAAAAGUUGUCGCCGUCGAUUGAAGUUGUCGACGCGAUGCUCGGAAACGGAAGUUGUCGCCGGUUUACUUCAUUCGUUGAGUCGAGAGAGGGAACGCGAAUGAGAGAGGUAACAUGAUGAUCGGAAGAGAAGCUAAGGGUGCAAGAGAAGGACGGAGGAUAUAGGAGAAGCAGACAAAGCGGGAAUCCAAAAUUGGGUGAAACGGGAAUGAAAAUUUUGGAGGUCAGACUCGAAAUAUUUGUGGGAAAAGGAAGAGGAUAACCUAGAAAUAUUUGGGAAGCUAAAAAAACAAAAGGAGGCUAAAAAAAGAUGUGGUGUAACGGAUUCGAACACGAGUAUCUUAUGUAUAAUGUCAAGGUAUUUACCA
Molecule: long non-coding RNA, 1745 nt
Filed under: Lactuca sativa (garden lettuce)
Lineage: Eukaryota; Viridiplantae; Streptophyta; Magnoliopsida; Asterales; Asteraceae
Description: long non-coding RNA (LSAT_LNC005986)
Source: RNAcentral